AGAGAUAUAGUUUUAAAAAUAUUUUGUUUACACCAAAAAGUCCUCUAAUGAGUAUUUCUU
This 60-nucleotide transfer RNA is filed under the name Anatoecus icterodes. RNAcentral's name for it is "tRNA-Val". Lineage: Eukaryota; Metazoa; Arthropoda; Insecta; Psocodea; Philopteridae. The record is from RNAcentral. RNAcentral also lists the same sequence under 1 other name.